This 928-nucleotide long non-coding RNA is filed under the name Malus domestica (apple). RNAcentral describes it as "long non-coding RNA (MDOM_LNC007916)". The record is from RNAcentral. Lineage: Eukaryota; Viridiplantae; Streptophyta; Magnoliopsida; Rosales; Rosaceae.
GUAUUGAUCCACCCCCUCUCUUCCGUCGACGCAAAGCCUGAUACGGUGACGGGAGUUGUUCCGAAAGGAAUUGGUGCAAAGCCAGAAAGAGUGACGGAGGAGUUGCACAAAAUUGGUGCAACCCCCUAAAUUUCGGGUGACAGAGGAAUUGGUCCCAGCCAGGUGAGUAGAUUUUCUUUUGCUUAUAGUUGUUUAAUUUUAUUGCAUCCAUUCUUCUCUAAAACUGUUUCAUUCACGCACGCCGACGGACUGAGUGUAGAAACAGAAGUCUGGAUCUGGAAUAUGGAGGACUCAUAGACGUGUGGUGGUCGAUGACUCGACGGCCGACGUGUUGAGUCUGUCAGUAAAGGGGGGUUGAGUCUGUCAGUAAAGUGGGGAGAAGGAGGAGAGGAGAGAGUGCAGGGACGAUUCGAGAGAUGUGUUGAGUCUGUUGACAGAGCGGAGGAGGAGAGGAGAGAACGCAGAAACGAUUCGAGAGGCCUGAGUUUGAGAGAGAGAGUGCAGACUCUGGGUGAUACGAGAUAGUGACCCAACGGUUGGAUUUAAUCUCAACAGAAUCCAACGCUUACAAUUUAUUCUAAUAUAUAUAAUUAUAAGAAUAUAUAUAUCGGUUCGGGACUUACCGAACAUUUGGCAAACAGAUCCCAAUUCCCAACCGAAAUUCGAGGAUUUUUUGGGUAUGGAUUAUUGAAUUUUUCGGAAUUUUUUGUUUUGGGAUUUUUUAAUUUUGGGUUCAGGAUAGGGGAGAAAUAUGUAGAUAUAUGAAUUGAUAGGCUUUUGUGGAAUUGAAUUAGUGCCCAUGUGAUUCUUGUUUCGUUUUAAUAUUUCUGUGUAAUAAAUAAAUGAGAAAUAUGUAGAUAUAUGAAAGAAAUGAGGAAUAAAAAAUAGUGAAGAUACAAUAUGCGAAUGAAACGGGGUCUUGAAUAAG